CUUUUAUUUUAAAUAAAAAAUAUUAUUAUAUUCCCUAUUCUAAGCUAUAAAAGUAGUUACAAAAAAAUAUUUAAAAUUCAAACUUAUUUCGACGCUCUGUGACAGACAGACACAGUCUUCCAUCAGUUCAAGCGGAAGCAGAAGUAAGAAGCGCGUGAACCGAUCAUCGCUUGCUCAUCUAGUUAUGAAAAUCAUGAAUGAACAUUAUAAGAGCAAGAAAGGCGUCUACUGGAGAUAAUGCUUCAUUGAGAAAGCCAAACUGUGGACCACCUGUUGUGGGGUAAAAGUCACAAAGCCAUACGUACAGGUGAAGAUUGACAGUAAGGCAACUGUUGAUGUAGAGACUGGAGCGCAACAUUGGACUUUUUUAGGGGAGGAUGGAGACAUGAAGCCUGACAGCUUCAGCUGCUUCCAGAUGUCAUCUUUAUCUCCAGCUUCUGUUCAUGACUCGACAGUUUGCCAGCACACCUGUAGCAGAAGAGGGCAGGUGUUAUGAUCACACCAAGACAUCUGUACAAUCAGAAAGUCAUCAUCAAAAGUGAAGCGAGCGACAGACAGACCGUCAGAGAGUUUCAAGGACUUUUCAGAUGUGUGUAACCAAAGUCUACAAGAUCACACUGGAUAUGAAGCUUUAAAUCACCCAUUUCCUGGGCUGAUUUCACCACUGCCUAUUUGAUCACUUUUUGUGGCCUGGAUUGAGUCCCGCAAGCCUCUGAAGGGCGAAUGAAGUUAAGAAGAAUUCAGACUUAAUCAAUCCUGGUCUUGAUCGAUGAGAUCAGUGAUUCAAAGGCCCACAUGGAUUCUACACCUCGACUCUAGAGAAAACUCUACAGAAUAUCACCCGUCCUCUGCCCCUUUGACACUUUGCCUGGAGCAACCUGGAGUUAAGUGCUUUGCUCAAGGGCACAAUGGAGAUGGUUCAUGGCUCACCUCUUGCAGGGAUCAAACAGAAACUUUGAGGUAACCAGCCCCGAGCCUAAACCUUUACACCACAGUCUCAGAAGGGUUUCACUGGGUUUUGUUUCCUUGGUUGUUUUUAUUUUAGGAAACUCUGAGGUUUACUCUGGGAAGCAGAAGAGAGGUUUCAUCAUCAUCCUGGGAAAAGUUACGGGAAUCAAAAUCUCCGCUCUGGGAAGGAAACCUAGUCCUGACCCGCACGUUUCAUGAGUCAUUCUGCCUUGAUCAGUUAUUCCUGGCGUGAUGUAGGCAGUGUAAUAGGUGCACAGACACCAUGCUGACAUUUGCUGGCACCCAUCAAAGGGACAUCUUGUAAACCUGUCACAGUUCGAGGACGCAAAAUCUAUCUUUGCGCCACCACACAAUGGAGACUAAGGCAUCAAUUAAUCCUGAAAUAACCCAAACGGCGAGGCUCAAGCGGUGCAGAAGAAAAAUCGUAUUGGGAUUUGGAAAAGCAUGUGGGCGAAAAAUCUUAAAAGCAAAAAAAUCAGACCUUCAGUGGAAGCAAAACCAACCACAGAUCUACACGUCACGAUCAGAUCAGCUUUGGAUUAAGCAGGUGGCUCGUUCGUGAUUGUUGUGGGAUUUCAUGGGAGAUUGAAGACGCGCUAAACUUUCUUUGGGAACGUCUCUUGACUGUUUGAAGUCUGAAGUGCUUUCAGGACAUCCGAAGUGGACGACAGCAGCGAGAGCGUCUGAAGGCACAGUGACAGAUGGAGAAACAUCAGGCGUUUGUGUUCAUCGAGCACAGCCGUGCAUAGCGACCUGUUCAACAUCCUCUCAACUAUGGGCUCUUCCAGAACCUGCUCUCAGAGGAAAAGGAUUUAAAGGGCAACCAGUAAGGAAUCUGACUCCACAUAAUAUGGGCUCAGCAAGACCUCUGAUCACUAAAUGCCAAGCCGGCUCCUGUCACUGUGCUGUAUGACAGCUUAAUAAUGGCUUUCCCAG
Molecule: long non-coding RNA, 1905 nt
Organism: Carassius carassius (crucian carp)
Lineage: Eukaryota; Metazoa; Chordata; Actinopteri; Cypriniformes; Cyprinidae
Exons: 15
Source: RefSeq, a predicted model, not a curated record